GGUGGAGGAGGUCGUGCGGCGCCACGGCGCGGCCACCUACCGCGUGGCGUUCACCGGUUUCGCGCCGGGCUUCGCCU
This 77-nucleotide transfer RNA is filed under the name Terrabacter tumescens. Its description in RNAcentral is "tRNA-Gly". Lineage: Bacteria; Bacillati; Actinomycetota; Actinomycetes; Micrococcales; Intrasporangiaceae. The record is from RNAcentral.